This is a long non-coding RNA of Camponotus floridanus (Florida carpenter ant), 750 nucleotides long. RefSeq lists it as uncharacterized. Lineage: Eukaryota; Metazoa; Arthropoda; Insecta; Hymenoptera; Formicidae. The record is from RefSeq and is a predicted model, not a curated record. The transcript has 3 exons.
GUCGCGUCGUUAUUUUAUUCCAAUUCAGGCAUUCUUGAGUCACACACAUAUCCGUAAUAAUUUUAACGAAACAAUUUAUAAUUUCGAUUCGCACGUAGUAGUGGCUUGGAUUAAAAUAUUACAUCAAAGUAAUUUCGAGUCAUGAAAUCGCAAUUUUUCGGACACUAUUAUUUCCCAUUAUCGCGCUGAUUAAACACCCGAGACACUAGGCAGCGGGAGGUUUAAUGGACUCCAUUGUUUCGACGAUGUAGACGCACGUAUUAUUGUUGACCGUCCGUUAAUUGAGUGACAGCGGAUAAAUACCUCGCCGGUUGCAAGAAUAAUCAUUGUCGCUCUUAUCAUCGUCAUCAUCGUCGUCGUCAUCAGCAUCGCUUGUGCCAUUCCCGAUCUCGAUUGUCGUCUACGUAGCUACAGGAAGCAGCAUCCUUGCUAGAUUCGAAAAGAUGCAAAUAAUUUUUAUUUGCAUAGCAGUAUUACUUGGGAAAUCCAGGACUUGCAACGCGGAGGCAAAACGUGGAUAGAUAUGUAUGUAUUGUCGAUGAAUAAGGCAUCAAACUUUUGAAUUACUGUUUCCUUGUUCAACCACAAUCGUCUUAAUUUAUCGCGUAAGUUUUAGUAUACCUCUCUAACUGAGUCUAAAGUUUUGUUAAAGCUGUGUCUAGUUGAAAUUAGUCGAAAUAUUUAACUCUGUUGUGCAUCUUCGCCGAAGCUCCUGUCGGGAUUCUUUAAUAUCUUGUUAGCUUAAUGAAA